Chinchilla lanigera (long-tailed chinchilla) is the source of this 2427-nucleotide long non-coding RNA. RefSeq lists it as uncharacterized. Lineage: Eukaryota; Metazoa; Chordata; Mammalia; Rodentia; Chinchillidae. The transcript has 4 exons. The record is from RefSeq and is a predicted model, not a curated record.
AGCACAGAUGGCCCCAAACAGGUAAUAGUCUUCAAUUAUCUAGUUAAACAUUUUUUAUUACUUGACACAUGAUAGUUGUGUGUAUGAGAAUUUGACACAUUCAUAUAGUGUGAAAUGAUCAAAUCAGAGGUGAUUAGCAUUUUUUUGUGUGGGCACUUUCAAGCUUUUUGAGCUUUUUGCUAUUUGACAUACAUAAUAAAUUGUUAUAAAUGAUAGUUAUCCUAGUAUGCUAUAAAAUGCUAAACCUUAUUCUUCCUGCCUAAUUGUAUCUCCGUACCUAUUACAUCCUUUCUUCUCUUUUCUUAAUUAGCAAUUGUCUUUUUUGUGUCUUAUUUCACCUAACAUAAUGUCCUCCAGUUUCAUCUGUGGUGUCCAGAAUGACAGGAUUUCAUUCUUGCAUGUUGGUUUUGGAGGCUUAUGUUUUUCUAAGAUUGUUAAGAUAUUUUCUCUCUUUUUUCUGUCAGUUUUAAGAUCCCUUUUAAGGUCCAGAUUGAAGUCUUUAUUCAUUAAUCCAGCCAACACAGCUUGCUGAGCACUAUGCUAUAAGCCUCAGAGAAGAGGUCCUGGGGCUUUAUCAGGAUGUACGAACUUUUGGAUUCUCCUGGAGCUCACUCUGUCAGGGUUUUGGAACAUCACUUGAAUCAUGCCUUCUCACAGACCCUGGCUGCAUAUGGUCCAUUGGAUCCAGAGCUUUCUGAAUCAGCCCUGAAGCAGAGCUAGGAGCUGUUAUUUUGUUAGCCUCUGGUAUUUUCUGAAGGGUGAGAUCAGAAUCUUUCCUCUUCUGAGUUCUUGGGAUCUUGUAGGGCUAGUGUCCAAGUCUGUACUGAACACUAGUAAUUGUGAAUUCAGGUAAGGAACUGUCCCCUAAACUUGUUUCUUCAUCUAUACAGUCAACAUAACUUCCCCCAUUCUAAUCCUUUUGGUGCCUUCUUCGCAUGACCCUUCUCUGGUCAAAGGGAAGGAAAGAUGAGGCAGGUCAAGAGACAGGGAAGAAAUUGGGUGAGAUGACAAGAGUCAGGGGCCUCUUAGAAGACAACUUAGAAGCCUCCUACCUCCUUGGGUGCCAGCCUCAGAUUCACUUCAGAGGCAUUUUAGGAACUUUUCUCCCAGGAGUACUUCCCUACCUGAUCUAAGUGUGAGGAGGAAGGAAAAAUACAGCGGGAGGGUUGGGUGACAAAGGCUGGCCCAUGUUACACAGAGUAUCCUUACUGAGGUGGAUGUAAUUGCAUAGAUUAAGAAAGAUACGUGGCUAGCCAUGUAAGUUGCUUUAGAUCGUCGUGCAGUUGGACCCCAAAGGAUGGAUUAAUUUGUGCCAUACGUGUACUUAUGUCUUUGCAUGUGUAUGUCCUUUGGGGACGGUGAAAACCCUGUGGUAGAACAGACCCUUUUAUCCUCCAACAGCUCAUUCUACUGUAUAAAUGGAAACAAAACAAAACAAAGUAAAUACCACCAACAAAACAGCUUCAUUGCAAAUUUGAAAAUACAACUAGUAUUAAAAUUCGUGUAUUUUCAUCUUAUUCUUUAUACUUCCUGUUUAUAUAAACUUACUUUUUGGAUUCUGACUUUUCAUGUGGCAGUGUUAUCAUACAGAUAUUCCCAUGUCACUGCGUGGUCUCUGUUACCAUUAGUUUUAGCAGCCAUAUUGUACUGUCACUUAUCUUCUUACCACCUAGACCUACUAGCUGUCUUACACACUGUGGACUAUAGAACUCUGUUGAAUUUUUGUAUGUCUUCGUUAUCUCCCUGAUCUACUGCUAACUGGGGGAGAAAGACUGUUUCUUCCUCUGUAUAUAUAAUAAUGUGACCGUAUAGUAGGUGGGCAGAAAGGUUUGUUGUGCAUGGACUCCCACCCCUUACUUCUUUGCUUCUAUGACUUCUUUGUGUAUAAAACUGUGCUGCUUUUCUCCACAGAAACCUUGAUUUCCUUCCAAAUGCUACUUUUAUCCUGUCUCCUUAAAUAUCAUCUUGUCUCCACAGGUUUCUGGCCUGGAGUCCUCUGAGACAGCCCUUUUUGGGAACCAUCAGGUGGGAUGAGCUUCCAGUGCAAUAACAGUCUCUACUGGUGUCUGAAUCCCUUGUAUAGAAUCCUGUAGGAGUGGAAAUUAAAGGUAUCUUCAUUUUUUCUUUUCCUGUAGGGAACUCAUUUAAUCCAAAAGUAGUUGGUUUGGUUCCUUAUAUUUUUAUUUCAUAAGUUUUUUAAUAAUUCUGUAAUAAUGGGUUGCAUUAACUCCUUUACACAGACAGCCUAGACAACCUAUAUUGUAAUUUGAUGUGAUACAUUUUGUAGAAUAUUUUCUUGCCUUUAUGUGUAUAUUUAUAAACAACAUGAUAUUGUAUCUCUGUAUAUUUUACCUGAACAGUGUACUAUUUUCUUUCUGUCUUGUGCUUUUUUUCACUGAACAAUAAAUUGGCACAAUAUGGUUAAAA